Molecule: ribosomal RNA, 497 nt
Filed under: uncultured bacterium
Lineage: Bacteria
Description: partial 16S ribosomal RNA
Rfam family: Bacterial small subunit ribosomal RNA
Source: RNAcentral
GAUGAACGCUGGCGGCGUGCCUAAUACAUGCAAGUCGAGCGAACGGACGAGAAGCUUGCUUCUCUGAUGUUAGCGGCGGACGGGUGAGUAACACGUGGAUAACCUACCUAUAAGACUGGGAUAACUUCGGGAAACCGUAGCUAAUACCGGAUAAUAUUUUGAACCGCAUGGUUCAAAAGUGAAAGACGGUCUUGCUGUCACUUAUAGAUGGAUCCGCGCUGCAUUAGCUAGUUGGUAAGGUAACGGCUUACCAAGGCAACGAUGCAUAGCCGACCUGAGAGGGUGAUCGGCCACACUGGAACGGAGACACGGUCCAGACUCCUACGGGAGGCAGCAGUAGGGAAUCUUCCGCAAUGGGCGAAAGCCUGACGGAGCAACGACGCGUGAGUGAUGAAGGUCUUCGGAUCGUAAAACUCUGUUAUUAGGGAAGAACAUAUGUGUAAGUAACUGUGCACAUCUUGACGGUACCUAAUCAGAAAGCCACGGCUAACUACGUG